GUGCUUGUUUCAUCAGUACAUAUGCUAAAUGUAAAUGAUACGGAGAUUAGCAUGGCCCCUGCAAAGGAUGACAUGCAAAUUCAUUAGCCUUUCCAUAUUUUU
Molecule: small nuclear RNA, 102 nt
Organism: Fukomys damarensis (Damara mole-rat)
Lineage: Eukaryota; Metazoa; Chordata; Mammalia; Rodentia; Bathyergidae
Source: Ensembl